RNAcentral lists this ribosomal RNA (497 nucleotides) under uncultured bacterium. RNAcentral describes it as "partial 16S ribosomal RNA". It matches the Rfam family "Bacterial small subunit ribosomal RNA", at positions 28 to 507 of the family's 1533-position model. The record is from RNAcentral.
GAUGAACGCUGGCGGCGUGCCUAAUACAUGCAAGUCGAGCGAACGGACGAGAAGCUUGCUUCUCUGAUGUUAGCGGCGGACGGGUGAGUAACACGUGGAUAACCUACCUAUAAGACUGGGAUAACUUCGGGAAACCGGAGCUAAUACCGGAUAAUAUUUUGAACCGCAUGGUUCAAAAGUGAAAGACGGUCGUUCUGUCACUUAUAGAUGGAUCCGCGCUGCAUUAGCUAGUUGGUAAGGUAACGGCUUACCAAGGCAACGAUGCAUAGCCGACCUGAGAGGGUGAUCGGCCACACUGGAACUGAGACACGGUCCAGACUCCUACGGGAGGCAGCAGUAGGGAAUCUUCCGCAAUGGGCGAAAGCCUGACGGAGCAACGCCGCGUGAGUGAUGAAGGUCUUCGGAUCGUAAAACUCUGUUAUUAGGGAAGAACAUAUGUGUAAGUAACUGUGCACAUCUUGACGGUACCUAAUCAGAAAGCCACGGCUAACUACGUG